CUAAAAAAUCGAAGUUAUACGUAUAAAAACAAAAGGCAGAAACACAUUGUAUCGAUUAUUUGUUGUUUUUGAGGACUUGAAGCAAACAGAAACACACUGUCCCACAUCGAGCAAUAACUGUGAAGCAUCUUCUUGAAAAAAUGUUGGAAUCCAACGAGAUGCUCGUUCAAACAUUGCUCAUUCUUUUCUUUAUUCAUCAGGACUUGAGCGAAACGAUGAAUCAUGACCGUGUGAUCAUAGCUUGCUAGAUUGUGACUGUGGAGGAUCGUUUCUUAACCAUGGAUGGUCCUGCGGUUGUCUGACAGGCCACCACUCCCACGAAGCCCAUUAUUAGAGCUCCAACGGCAAAUCCCAAGUUCUCCUUUCUUUCUUUUUUCCCCCUAUAGUUUCAGUACACAGCAAGAUAGCUUCUGUAGCGAUUGGCUUCCUGUUAUACCAUGAGCACUCCCAAGCAAAAGUCGUUGUUCUUGGCGGUCAUUUUCACUUCUCUUCGAUACUUGUCGGUCUAUUCCUUUGAAUACCAAAUCGGCGGCAACGAAAACUGGGUUGUCCCUCCUGCCAUUGAUACCAGAAUCUACGUUGACUGGGCCUUAGGGAACCGAUUCCAAGUUGGAGAUACCUUUUCCUUCAAUUUCCUGGGUGUUCAUCUUUUUUUGCGCAGGUUUCAAGUAAAGGAAGGAUUCCGUCAUGAAGGUCAGGGUAGAGGAUUGCAAGAAGUGCCACUCCCGUCACCCCAACUUCUUUUCCAACACUGUUUACUAUCUUAAUUAUCCAGCGUCUUCCUACUUCAUAAGUGGGGUUUCUGGACACUGCGAGAAGGGACAAAGGAUGAUCAUCAUUAAGGUUAUCUCAACUGAUCAAGAGACUAAUUCAAGUCUGCAGCUUUUCCUUCUGCAGGAGUGCUAGUGAUUCGGUGCCUGGAAAAUGCUCUUAUCUCAGCUUGUUUCAUUCUAACAAAAUACCACCGCUAAAGCACGGCAGCCGCUCAGGGUCUUCCUCGUACCUUCAUAUUACUCUCCCCUUGGAUACUACCGGGGCUUGAAGCAAAAAGACGAACAGAGCGUUUUCCUUGGGAUAAAAACACCUAGGACCACAUUUGUACCACAUCGAAAAAGAGUUAAGAACCAAUAUAGUUAAUAAAUUGUUCGAGGAGCCCGUAACUGCACGACCUUACUUGAACAGGAUCUGUUCUAUAGGAUCGUACCUCUGUAUCCUUAAUCACUAAGGAGACAGGAACCUAAGCCUGGUUGAGGAACCAUGACCGCGUGAUCAUAGCGUGAGUAAUGGCUAGAUGGCCCUCGUGAUCAUCUUGGCUGUAGAGGAUCGUUUCCUAGCCGCUAACCUGGCUGGGAAUGGUCACGCGGUUGUCUGACAGGCUUCUGCUCUUCUU
Molecule: long non-coding RNA, 1390 nt
Organism: Populus trichocarpa (black cottonwood)
Lineage: Eukaryota; Viridiplantae; Streptophyta; Magnoliopsida; Malpighiales; Salicaceae
Exons: 2
Source: RefSeq, a predicted model, not a curated record